ACCAGCCAUCACCAGCCAACCAGUCAACCAAGAACAGGCAAAUGAUGAUGUUGUCAUUGGAGGAACCCUCAGGGUCAAAAAAAUUAAAUUGCAAAGAUGCAACCAACAACUCCCGACCAAGCUGGUGUGCGACCUGCUAUGAGUUGUAUUUUCAAAAAGAGAGAUGGCCACCUCGUCCCUGACUGGACAAAAGGGCAGUGCCAAAGACGAAAUAAAACCACCACUGGAGGCCACCGCGGUCAAAGCUAUUUUUGAAUACACUCUGCAGAAAUUUCCCAAUGUGGAACUAUCCAUCCUGAGGGGAGCCGUCAGGAAUAAGUUAAACAAUGUCAGCAAGCUGUUCAAGAAAACACAGGCUGAAGCUGGAUCCGAUGGACCCUGAUCCCUCAGACAUUGAUUUAUUAGUG
Neoarius graeffei (lesser salmon catfish) is the source of this 407-nucleotide long non-coding RNA. RefSeq lists it as uncharacterized. The transcript has 4 exons. The record is from RefSeq and is a predicted model, not a curated record. NCBI's taxonomy places the organism in Eukaryota, Metazoa, Chordata, Actinopteri, Siluriformes, Ariidae.